ACCUGAUCCCUCUCAGCAGUAGCUUGGGCUUUAAAACCGGGAAACCUGGAGGAAUCACAGACACUGGGCUGGUUUUACUGGUCUCCCCACACUGUACAGAAAGCCAGGCCUCUCCUUGCACAGCUGGUUUCCUUGGUGGUGUGAGUCACUUCUGUUAUGUUGCUCCGUUCAUCCAUAUUAUGUAGGUUUUUACUAGCUGCCUUCUCAGAGUAUGUCCUGGCCUCCCAUAACAGAGUAUCUGCAGCUGCAGCUGUGGUCUUUGGCCUCCGGCUUGUGUGAGAGAACACGAGACUUCCUGUGCCUCCCGCUUUGCAUGUGGUGUGUGGCAGCCAGCCAGCCUCCAUUCUAGCACCUUCUAAGGGCACAGGCUUAAAUCUUGCCCAAACCUGGACAAGCUGAUGUUCAGGUCAGAACCGGCUGAGGUUCAGAAAUGGCAGGAUCCUGUGAGCAACCUAAGAAGAUUAGCUCACAGAUGCUGGGAUCCCAGGCUGGAGACAGUUUCUUCACCCAUCCUCCUUCCUCAAUCUUCUCAGCUGGUUCCCUUUGGCCUGACUCAGAGACUGACCUCGAGUGACCUCACUCAUCUUGUCCACAGGGACCCCGGAUGUUCUUAGAGCCACAGACUCUUAGGGCUGGAAGGAAGUUUGAAUCCAACUUCUCUGUGUUGUAG
Molecule: long non-coding RNA, 670 nt
Organism: Bos taurus (domestic cattle)
Lineage: Eukaryota; Metazoa; Chordata; Mammalia; Artiodactyla; Bovidae
Source: Ensembl